GAGGUUUUUAAAUAUCUCGGUAAUUUAAUGAUUUAUUUAAUACUUAAGUACAUGGAAGGAAUAUUAGAUGCUGGUUAAAACCAAACGUUGAGAGAACACUGAUCUUUAAAAUGAGUCAUCCGGAUCAUUGAACCUCAGAAGGUAAACGGGAGUUGAUAACCCACCCUCUACUCUCUGAUUCGGCUCUCUAUGAAUGAAUUUUUUAAAUAAAGUUUUUUAGCAGUUCAUUGUGAAAAAUAUCAUGAGAAUUGAUUGAGGCUAAAAAUCAAAAAUUU
RNAcentral lists this long non-coding RNA (275 nucleotides) under Cotesia glomerata. RNAcentral describes it as "uncharacterized LOC123260829, transcript variant X1". Lineage: Eukaryota; Metazoa; Arthropoda; Insecta; Hymenoptera; Braconidae. The record is from RNAcentral.